CUAGUGUGAAUUGCAGAAUUCCGCGAAUCAUCGAGUCUUUGAACGCAAGUUGCGCCCGAGGCUCGUACCGAGGGCAUGUCUGUCUGAGCGUCCA
RNAcentral lists this ribosomal RNA (94 nucleotides) under Frullania rostrata. Its description in RNAcentral is "partial 5.8S ribosomal RNA". It matches the Rfam family "5.8S ribosomal RNA", at positions 62 to 154 of the family's 154-position model. From Rfam's summary of the family: 5.8S ribosomal RNA (5.8S rRNA) is a component of the large subunit of the eukaryotic ribosome. It is transcribed by RNA polymerase I as part of the 45S precursor that also contains 18S and 28S rRNA. Functionally, it is thought that 5.8S rRNA may be involved in ribosome translocation. Lineage: Eukaryota; Viridiplantae; Streptophyta; Jungermanniopsida; Porellales; Frullaniaceae. The record is from RNAcentral.